This 452-nucleotide ribosomal RNA is filed under the name uncultured bacterium. RNAcentral describes it as "bacterial SSU rRNA". It matches the Rfam family "Bacterial small subunit ribosomal RNA", at positions 349 to 793 of the family's 1533-position model. The record is from RNAcentral.
CAGCAGUGGGGAAUAUUGCACAAUGGGCGCAAGCCUGAUGCAGCCAUGCCGCGUGUAUGAAGAAGGCCUUCGGGUUGUAAAGACUUUCAGCAGUGAGGAAGGCAGGUACGUUAAUAGCGUGCUUGUUUGACGUUAGCUGCAGAAGAAGCACCGGCUAACUCCGUGCCAGCAGCCGCGGUAAUACGGAGGGUGCGAGCGUUAAUCGGAAUUACUGGGCGUAAAGCGCAUGCAGGUGGUUUGUUAAGUCAGAUGUGAAAGCCCGGGGCUCAACCUCGGAAUUGCAUUUGAAACUGGCAGACUAGAGUACUGUAGAGGGGGUAGAAUUUCAGGUGUAGCGGUGAAAAUGCGUAGAGAUCUGAAGGAAUACCGGUGGCGAAGGCGGCCCCCUGGACAGAUACUGACACUCAGAUGCGAAAAGCGUGGGGAGCAAACAGGAUUAGAUACCCUGGUAG